RNAcentral lists this ribosomal RNA (491 nucleotides) under uncultured bacterium. RNAcentral's name for it is "partial 16S ribosomal RNA". It matches the Rfam family "Bacterial small subunit ribosomal RNA", at positions 29 to 506 of the family's 1533-position model. The record is from RNAcentral.
AGUGAACGCUGGCGGUAGGCCUAACACAUGCAAGUCGAACGGCAGCACAGUAAGAGCUUGCUCUUACGGGUGGCGAGUGGCGGACGGGUGAGGAAUACAUCGGAAUCUACUUUUUCGUGGGGGAUAACGUAGGGAAACUUACGCUAAUACCGCAUACGACCUACGGGUGAAAGCAGGGGAUCUUCGGACCUUGCGCGAUUGAAUGAGCCGAUGUCGGAUUAGCUAGUUGGCGGGGUAAAGGCCCACCAAGGCGACGAUCCGGAGCUGGUCUGAGAGGAUGAGCAGCCAAGAGUGAGGAAGGAAAGAGUCCGGACGCAUACGGGAGCCAGCAGUGGGGGAUAUGGGAAAAUGGGCGCAAGCUUGAACCAUCCAUACCGCGUGGAUGAAAAAGAGCAGGUGGUUGUAACGCGCUUUUGGUGGUAAAGAAAAGCAGCAGGUUAAGAACCAGCUGUCCUGAAGGUACGCAAAGAAUAAGCACCGACUAGCUUAGU